AGUGAACGCUGGCGGUAGGCCUAACACAUGCAAGACGAGCGGAUGCACGGUACUAGCUCCUGCUUUCGGCGGCGGACGGGCGGGCAAUGCCUGGGAACCUGCGAGGCUACGGUUUAUAAGGGCCGGAAGUGGGCGCAAAUACCCCAAUAGCCCUGACGGCGAAAGGGGGGGAUCUUCGGAUCUCCCGCUCUUAGACGAGCCGAGGUCGGAUUAGCUAGUUGGCGGGGUAAAGGCCUACCAAGGCGACGAUCCGUAGCUGGUCUGAGAGGAUGAUCAGCCACACUGGAACUGAGACACGGUCCAGACUCCUACGGGAGGCAGCAGUGGGGAAUAUUGGACAAUGGGCGCAAGCCUGAUCCAGCCAUACCGCGUGUGUGAAGAAGGCCUUCGGGUUGUAAAGCACUUUUGUUGGGAAAGAAAAGCAGCAGGUUAAUACCCCGCUGUUCUGACGGUACCCAAAGAAUAAGCACCGGCUAACUUCGUG
Molecule: ribosomal RNA, 484 nt
Filed under: uncultured bacterium
Lineage: Bacteria
Description: partial 16S ribosomal RNA
Rfam family: Bacterial small subunit ribosomal RNA
Source: RNAcentral